GCGCUGCGUGGGAGAAAGCUCAAUCUCUGCAAAUAUGUUGAAUAGAGGAGGAGACGCUGGAAAUACCAUCGUGGGAGGACAAACCCCUACAUGGGAUGUACCACCGACAGAUAACUGAAGUGGCUGAUAUCAAGAAAUCCUUCCAAUGGCUAGAAAAAGCUGGUCUGAAGGUCAGCACAGAGGCACUCAUCAUGGCUGCACAGGAACAGGCCCUAAUGUGGUUGAGAACAAGAGAGCCAGACUCCUGUGGGACUUCCAGAUCCAGACUGACAAAAUGGUUAUGGAGAACCAAUCGGACAUUGUGGUGGUGGAAAAACAACAGAGGACAGCCGUUGUGGUUGAUGUGGCAAUACCAAGUGAUGCAACAUCAGAAAACAGGAACAAGAGAAACCAGAGAAGUAUCAGGGCCUCAAAGAAGAACUUGAGAAUGCCUGGAGACUGAAGACAUCCGUGGUGCCCGUGGUCAUCGGGGCACUUGGGGCAGUAAUCCCCAGACUGGAGGAGUGGCUAAAGCAGAUCCCAGAAAAACAUCAGACAUCUCAGUCCAGAAAAGUGCAGUUCUAGGAACAGCUAAGAUACUGCAGGACCCUCAAGCUCCCAGACCUCUGGUAGAGGACCCAUCUUGGAAGGAUGAGACCAACCGCAGAUGAUCACGGAUCGAGGCGGUCCUGCAUGUGUUUAAAGAACAGGAACCCUGCAACCUUGAAGUACAGUGUUCUGGUUCAAAAACAGCUUACCAUGCAGGGUGAGAAAGUACGAAGUAGGAAACAGUGGCUGUGGUGAGAGACGGGAACAUGGUGGGAUCCGACUUUCUACAUGGAUUUAGGAACAUCUAAAGGACGGGAACUUUUCUAAAAAGUACAGCUUUGUAAUUUUUAAGUGAUAGAGAAGCACAGCAGUGCUAUGAAAUGUUAGAAAUGCUAUGAUGCCUACCUGUUGUACAGCAGAAUGUCAGGUUUCCAGAUGAG
This is a non-coding RNA of Nothobranchius furzeri (turquoise killifish), 968 nucleotides long. The record is from RefSeq and is a predicted model, not a curated record. NCBI's taxonomy places the organism in Eukaryota, Metazoa, Chordata, Actinopteri, Cyprinodontiformes, Nothobranchiidae.